Non-coding RNA from Saimiri boliviensis boliviensis (Bolivian squirrel monkey), 2764 nucleotides. NCBI's taxonomy places the organism in Eukaryota, Metazoa, Chordata, Mammalia, Primates, Cebidae. The record is from RefSeq and is a predicted model, not a curated record.
GCCUUGGAGCGCGCGCAUGCGCGAGAGCUCCUGCUGCUGAAGGGGUGAGGCGCACCAUGGCGGUCGGCUGUGCUCGGAGCGCAGCGGGGUCAGGAUGGACCGGGACGUGUUGCACCCUGCAGAGCCUCAUCUUCGGCGAGAGCGAGGUGGGCAAGUCCAGGUUCACCUGCUUCCAGGCGGGCAGAGCGUGGUAUUCAUCUCGUGUCAUGUCUAGUGCAAACUGGAACAUUGGGAGAAACACCAGUGGCUCAGUGAAAGGACUCUCAGCUGUGUGUGUUGUUUUAGUCCCAUCCCCAUCCCAGUGGAAGAACUGCUUACCUCGAAGUCUUCAUCGGUGAGAUAGAUCUCAAGCUUCAGAGGAUCGACCCCCUCCGGGAGCGGCCUGGCCAGGAGGUCGGCCAGCGGCAGGGAAACAUAUUGGUGAAUGUCAGAGGCUCCAGACCAGCAUGGAUAAGAGUGCACCACCAUCCCCCCUUGGAAACACUGCAGGAAACAGGGCGGCUCCUUUCCCUGGAGAACCUGGACCUUCAGAUUUAAACAGGGAAAUAGGUACAUUUUCUCUGGGAUCAUCUUGCAAAAAGUGGGAGGAUGAAAGAAGUGGGAGGCACAGCCUGAAAUCUGCAGAAGCCAGACCAGGGCUGAAGUGCUUUGGGUGACGUGGUCUUCCAUUAUCAGAAUCAUGUUGGGAGGAACCAGGCCGAGCCGCCAUCAGCUCCUAGGAGAGGAUGCUCCUCUUGGUCCCUAGGGUGCAGAGCUCCCCAAGACUUACCUGGGCCCCCCUUUCCUCAUCCAGCUCCACCGUCAUCAGCGCCGAUGUGCCCUUCUCACUCACUGUCGAGUGCCGGCCUUGCCAGAAGAAGUAGACGCACUUCUCUUUGCCGGCCGCCCUCACCGAGUGCUCUCCCUUCUGGCGACUUCCCACUGCAAUCACAGAACGGCGGAGGGACAGGUCAGCAGCUGAGAUGCCCAAGGAGGAGCAAAUGUCCCUCUCACUUUCCCAGGGCCGGCGAGGACCAGCGGCAAAGAGACAGCCUGAGGCCUGGGGCUGGAGACAAACCACUGGCAAUGGAGGGAAGGGUGGCCGCGCCCAGCAGAAGAGAUAACCACCUUCCUUCCAGCUCCUGACCCAGAGUCUCCAACGUGAAGAAAAAGGAUCGGAGGGGCCUCCUGGUGCCCCGAGAAAACACCUGUCAUCCAGAGGGGGCGGCAGAUCACUUCAAGUGUGCAGCACAGCAAUUUCUUCAAACGAUGUGGUGAGGCCAGGUGUGGCCCUUUUGGGUGCAAGUGAUGGAGGAGCCAGACUAGUGUCACCAAGGGGCCAGAGCUUCCGCAUUGGCUACGGAGUGACCGCAGGUGCCAUCGGGCUGUGCUUCCCAGGGCUGGAGGGACGGUCUGGAAUCUGAAUGCUCCCUGCUCUAUCCUAAUUCUCUAAAAGCUGGACUUUGCAGAGUUGUGUCUGAUCAGCCUGCGCCUCCCGUGGCCCCGGGGCAGGUGCACGUGCACAGCAUGGGGGCUGUAAAGAGGCCGAAAGACUCUUCCGAGUUGACGUCACAGAGCUGUGACCUGCAUGCUGUCCUAAGUGGGAGGGGUGAGGAGCGCUGCGGGAAGGCUCCUCCUUGGCAAGGACAUGGAUGGUUUCUCCAGAGUUCACCUGACUCCCCCGUCUCCAGCUUCAAGCAUCCAGGAUGCUUAACUGCAGUGAGGGAAAGGCUACAGCUCCAGGAAGACUCUGGGAGGUCUGAACACCCAUGGCCACAACAGCACAUGGAUGCCCGAGAACAGGCGCAAACCAGACUCCUCACCUCCUGGAGUCGGGUUAGAACUGGAGGCCAGUCUGCUGUUCUACUCGCCACUUUUGCUGGGACCCGAACCAAGCCCCAAGGUUGAGACCUGGUCGCCGGGAUACCUUGUGCUGGGCAGGCUCCCCGGGGUUCUUCUCCUGCGGUCGCUUCAGUUCUGUCCAAUCCAGAAACUUCUCUUUGAACAAAAUCGUCUCAUUGUGUUCAAUCCAUCUUCAGUUGUGAAUCCGGCUCGGGAUACAAGACCCCUCAGAGCAGCCAGCCCUGCUGCUUCUGCCCUGCUGUGCCUCAGUUGCUUCCUGCUUGGUCAAGCCCACAGCUGCUGAUGUCACAGUUGAGGUACAUCAGAAAGGCUGUUGGAUUCAAAGAAAGCUGCAGGAUUAAUCAUAGAACACAGACACUUCUACCUCUUGUGAGACUUUAGGAACCGAACAUCAGCACCUAUGAAAAAUGCACAGCGGUCUUGAAAGGCUGCGGUCUUUAUCAGGAAUACCUGAAUGAGAGUCUCUUAUGUCAGUCCUCCUCUGCAGGCUUGCUAAGAUGACAGUCGGAAGGACUCUUGGCUUCUGCUUUAGAAUCUGUCGUCUAUGUUUUGAAGCAUGAGCAAGCGACGUACCAGAUUGCAGGGUGAGGGGUACGAACCUGGGGCAGGAGCCAGGUGUGUUUCCCCACCCCCUUCCCUGACUCACAGCUGGAACUGGGCUCAGUGGUUUCAGCCUCAUUUGCUAAGAAGGGCGGGGUGUGUAAUCCUGGCUGUACCUUAAAAUCCCUGGGAGCUUUUAAGACAUUGACACAAGCUCUAACUCACCUGAAUCAAAAACACAUCUCUGGGGCUGGGCUUAGCAAAUGCAUUUGUUUAAAGGCUUCUCAGGUGAUUUUCGCAGAGACAUUGAAAACCCGUGGGCUAGAAGCUCAUUCAGUCACUUUCAGCUGUGUGAUUAAGCCACUAUUAAACACAACUGGCA